UCUGUGUCAUGUUGGUCUCUUGCGGAGAGUUGUCUUAUUGGCAAUCAUACCACAUCUUUUUUAAAUUGUCAAUUCUAUAUUCUCUGAUUAUUUGUUCAGACCCAAAACAAUCUAUAUGUAAGAUUAAAUAUAUCCUUUCCUAUGACACACCACCAUUGUAUACAUAUAUCUUGGACAGCUUAAGUAGCAACUUUUUGAUUUUCU
RNAcentral lists this long non-coding RNA (204 nucleotides) under Mytilus galloprovincialis (Mediterranean mussel). The record is from RNAcentral. Lineage: Eukaryota; Metazoa; Mollusca; Bivalvia; Mytilida; Mytilidae.